RNAcentral lists this ribosomal RNA (2928 nucleotides) under Cronobacter sakazakii. Its description in RNAcentral is "bacterial LSU rRNA". It matches the Rfam family "Bacterial large subunit ribosomal RNA". The record is from RNAcentral. Lineage: Bacteria; Pseudomonadati; Pseudomonadota; Gammaproteobacteria; Enterobacterales; Enterobacteriaceae.
GGGUUGUGAGGUUAAGCGAACAAGCGUACACGGUGGAUGCCCUGGCAGUCAGAGGCGAUGAAGGACGUGCUAAUCUGCGAAAAGCGCCGGUAAGGUGAUAUGAACCGUUAUAACCGGCGAUGUCCGAAUGGGGAAACCCGGUGCACUUCGGUGCAUCAUCGUUAGCUGAAUACAUAGGCUAACGAGGCGAACCGGGGGAACUGAAACAUCUAAGUACCCCGAGGAAAAGAAAUCAACCGAGAUUCCCCCAGUAGCGGCGAGCGAACGGGGAACAGCCCAGAGCCUGAAUCAGCUUGUGUGUCAGUGGAACGGUCUGGAAAGGCCGGCGAUACAGGGUGACAGCCCCGUACACGAAGGCACACAGGCUGUGAGCUCGAUGAGUAGGGCGGGACACGUGAUAUCCUGUCUGAAGAUGGGGGGACCAUCCUCCAAGGCUAAAUACUCCUGACUGACCGAUAGUGAACCAGUACCGUGAGGGAAAGGCGAAAAGAACCCCGGCGAGGGGAGUGAAACAGAACCUGAAACCGUGUACGUACAAGCAGUGGGAGCCUUCGUAAGAGGGUGACUGCGUACCUUUUGUAUAAUGGGUCAGCGACUUAUAUUCUGUAGCAAGGUUAACCGUAUAGGGGAGCCGAAGGGAAACCGAGUCUUAACCGGGCGUUAAGUUGCAGGGUAUAGACCCGAAACCCGGUGAUCUAGCCAUGGGCAGGUUGAAGGUUGGGUAACACUAACUGGAGGACCGAACCGACUAAUGUUGAAAAAUUAGCGGAUGACCUGUGGCUGGGGGUGAAAGGCCAAUCAAACCGGGAGAUAGCUGGUUCUCCCCGAAAGCUAUUUAGGUAGCGCCUCGUGAACUCAUCUCCGGGGGUAGAGCACUGUUUCGGCUAGGGGGCCAUCCCGGCUUACCAACCCGAUGCAAACUGCGAAUACCGGAGAAUGUUAUCACGGGAGACACACGGCGGGUGCUAACGUCCGUCGUGAAGAGGGAAACAACCCAGACCGCCAGCUAAGGUCCCAAAGUCAUGGUUAAGUGGGAAACGAUGUGGGAAGGCCCAGACAGCCAGGAUGUUGGCUUAGAAGCAGCCAUCAUUUAAAGAAAGCGUAAUAGCUCACUGGUCGAGUCGGCCUGCGCGGAAGAUGUAACGGGGCUAAACCAUGCACCGAAGCUGCGGCAGCGACGCUUAUGCGUUGUUGGGUAGGGGAGCGUUCUGUAAGCCUGCGAAGGUGUGCUGUGAGGCAUGCUGGAGGUAUCAGAAGUGCGAAUGCUGACAUAAGUAACGAUAAAGCGGGUGAAAAGCCCGCUCGCCGGAAGACCAAGGGUUCCUGUCCAACGUUAAUCGGGGCAGGGUGAGUCGACCCCUAAGGCGAGGCCGAAAGGCGUAGUCGAUGGGAAACAGGUUAAUAUUCCUGUACUUGGUGUUACUGCGAAGGGGGGACGGAGAAGGCUAUGUCGGCCGGGCGACGGUUGUCCCGGUUUAAGCGUGUAGGCUGACUUUCCAGGCAAAUCCGGAAAGUUAAGGCUGAGGCGUGAUGACGAGGCACCACGGUGCUGAAGUGACAAAUGCCCUGCUUCCAGGAAAAGCCUCUAAGCAUCAGGUAACAUCAAAUCGUACCCCAAACCGACACAGGUGGUCAGGUAGAGAAUACCAAGGCGCUUGAGAGAACUCGGGUGAAGGAACUAGGCAAAAUGGUGCCGUAACUUCGGGAGAAGGCACGCUGACAUGUAGGUGAAGCCCCUGCGGGUGGAGCUGAAGUCAGUCGAAGAUACCAGCUGGCUGCAACUGUUUAUUAAAAACACAGCACUGUGCAAACACGAAAGUGGACGUAUACGGUGUGACGCCUGCCCGGUGCCGGAAGGUUAAUUGAUGGGGUUAUCGCAAGAGAAGCUCCUGAUCGAAGCCCCGGUAAACGGCGGCCGUAACUAUAACGGUCCUAAGGUAGCGAAAUUCCUUGUCGGGUAAGUUCCGACCUGCACGAAUGGCGUAAUGAUGGCCAGGCUGUCUCCACCCGAGACUCAGUGAAAUUGAACUCGCUGUGAAGAUGCAGUGUACCCGCGGCAAGACGGAAAGACCCCGUGAACCUUUACUACAGCUUGACACUGAACAUUGAGCCUUGAUGUGUAGGAUAGGUGGGAGGCUUUGAAGCGUGGACGCCAGUCUGCGUGGAGCCGACCUUGAAAUACCACCCUUUAAUGUUUGAUGUUCUAACCUGGCGCCAUAAUCUGGCGUGGGGACAGUGUCUGGUGGGUAGUUUGACUGGGGCGGUCUCCUCCCAAAGUGUAACGGAGGAGCACGAAGGUCAGCUAAUCCUGGUCGGACAUCAGGAGGUUAGUGCAAUGGCAUAAGCUGGCUUGACUGCGAGAGUGACGGCUCGAGCAGGUGCGAAAGCAGGUCAUAGUGAUCCGGUGGUUCUGUAUGGAAGGGCCAUCGCUCAACGGAUAAAAGGUACUCCGGGGAUAACAGGCUGAUACCGCCCAAGAGUUCAUAUCGACGGCGGUGUUUGGCACCUCGAUGUCGGCUCAUCACAUCCUGGGGCUGAAGUAGGUCCCAAGGGUAUGGCUGUUCGCCAUUUAAAGUGGUACGCGAGCUGGGUUUAGAACGUCGUGAGACAGUUCGGUCCCUAUCUGCCGUGGGCGCUGGAGAAUUGAGGGGGGCUGCUCCCAGUACGAGAGGACCGGAGUGGACGCAUCACUGGUGUUCGGGUUGUCAUGCCAAUGGCACUGCCCGGUAGCUAAAUGCGGAAGAGAUAAGUGCUGAAAGCAUCUAAGCACGAAACUUGCCCCGAGAUGAGUUCUCCCUGACUCCUUGAGAGUCCUGAAGGAACGUUGAAGACGACGACGUUGAUAGGCCGGGUGUGUAAGCGCAGCGAUGCGUUGAGCUAACCGGUACUAAUGAACCGUGAGGCUUAACCUUACAACGCCAAAGAAGU